GGUCAGAGUGCAAGCAAGACGCAAAAAUCACCGACACAUCUCACAAAUCAAAUGCAAACUGCCAAAAUAACAAUACAUUUCAUAGAUCAAAAGCAAAAUGCAAAAAUCACCAACAAAACAACAAAAAUACCAAGAGAUUAACUCAAACAUAUGUCACAAUCAUAGAACCAAAAUAUUUGUAAAUUGACCCAUGAGUAAUAUCGUCUAUCGAACCUAGAGGCGAUUCUUGGACAUGGGCGAGGUGAACCCAAGUUGACCCUUGAUUAUUGUUAUUCUGGACAGCAGAGGCAAACCUAGAAGCGAACCCAAAGGCGAGGUAAGGCAAGUAUUGCCGUCUGUCGAUGUGAGUGUGGGUACAACUAACGAAGAAGAAGAAGAAGAAGAA
RNAcentral lists this unclassified non-coding RNA (385 nucleotides) under Hevea brasiliensis (rubber tree). The record is from RNAcentral. Lineage: Eukaryota; Viridiplantae; Streptophyta; Magnoliopsida; Malpighiales; Euphorbiaceae.